Molecule: long non-coding RNA, 4487 nt
Filed under: Equus asinus (donkey)
Lineage: Eukaryota; Metazoa; Chordata; Mammalia; Perissodactyla; Equidae
Description: lncRNA (ENSEASG00005026711.1)
Source: RNAcentral
AAGCACCCAACCUGGACUAAUACGUAUUCUGUUCCUUCUUAAGGAAACAAACGCGCUACUCCAGUGGGGAUGAGGGGGAGGAGGAAUAAGAGGUAGGGGGAGUAUUUCCUCUUUUACCCCCACCUCUUUGUGCUGAAACUUCCAUCAAAAAUGACUUCCUUCCUUUCUAAAUCUUCCUCCAGGACCCACUUUAAGAUUCACACACACCCUGCAUGAAGCUUGUUUCUUCAAUAAAUACGCUUUCCCUCCUGUGAACUCCUUAAGAUGCCUUGUAUCUCUUUUAAAUGCUUCACGUACGGAAGAAGGACAGAUACACAGAUGGAUCUAUCAUGAGCCUCCAGAAACCUAAGCUUCAGGGCCUCCUUACUGGCAUGGCCCCUUCCAAGGCCCCGUACUUAAUUUGUAUUCAUAACAGCAAGUGAAAAUUGAAGACAUAUUUGCUGAUGGACUCCGAAUUCACUAACUUCAAAUAUUUGUUGAUUUAUUAAGCUUGUUUUGUUUAUAGAGAUUUAUAUGAGAAUUUUGAUUACCCAUUAUAUCAUUCCUUUGCCCAAAAGCCUUCAGUAGCUCCCCAUUGCCUCUAAUUAAAUAAAAGCUUCCCAACUUGGCCUUCAAGGCCUGCUUCAGUGUGGCCAAAUUUUAUUUCUCCAGGCUUAUGUCCCAAACUCUCCUUAUUUCCCCAAAACGGAACCCCAUGCUGUCACCCUGGUGGUGGUGUUCACACUGAUUUCUCUGCUCAGAAAGUUUUCUCUUCAGACUCCACCUUUUGACAUCUUAAGAUAGCCUUUAGGCCCUUGUUUCUGGAAAAGAGGUCCCUGGACCAGCAACAUGACCUGAGAGCUUGUGAGAAAUGCAGAAACUCACACCCCGCCCCAGACCUGCUGAAUCGGAAUCUGCAUGUAAACAAAAUCCACAGUCAAGUUUGAGAUAUACUUACUUAGGCCAUGUCACAGGCCACCUCCUCUAAGAGUCUUCAAACUUUUAAAAUCCCUAUAAUGAAAAACGUUUUUCUUCUUUUAAACCUUUUUCAUCCUUUGCUGGUACCUCUCUAUGGGUUCUUCAUUCUGCCUUGAACUGUGGUUCCUUAUAUACAGGUUUCCUUAUCCUGUGAGUUUGUGAACUCUUUGAAGUCACUAACAAUGGAGUCUCAAAUUAGAGAUGAGUUAGUUAACUUGGUAUUUUUCUCAAUGCCCCUGCUGCACCCGCGUCCCCCUCCCCAUGCAUGCCCACACAAACCUAGGUGGUAUUGGUGGUGUUUUAGUUGAUAGAAUUUUGCAAGGAUCCAAAUAUAAACUGACUCUCAAAUGUGCCACGUGUGGGCAGGAAGAUCACUUGCAAUUAUUUACUACUUAAUAAAAUGAGCAUUUGUCUAUUAGUUUAUGUCAUGAAAGUCUUGAAUAGCAUUCCCUUUACCUUUGACUGCCGCCAUAGCGAUAAAAUUAUAUCUUCAGGGGCCGACCCGGUGGUGCAGCGGUUAAGUGUGCACAUUCCACUUGGGCGGAAUGGGGUUUGCUGGUUCGGAUCCCGGGUGUGGACAUGGCACUGCUUGGCAAGCCAUGCUCUGGUAGGCGUCCCACAUAUAAAGUAGAGGAAGACAGGCAUGGAUGUUAGCUCAGGGCCAGUCUUCCUCAGCAAAAAGAGGAGGAUUGGCAGCAGAUGUUAGCUCAGGGCUAAUCUUCCUCAAAAAAAAAAAAAAAAUCUUCAUCCCUGAAUUCCAGAAUAGGAGGAGAGCUGCCCUAAAUUAUUCAAAAACAGGUGGUUGCCUUGAACAUUCUGUAAAAACUUCUGAGGAAGGAUAUUCCAUAAAGUCCUUUGAUUCCAACAACAUACAAUUACAAAAAAGUGUCAAUAUCCCCACAAGAAAUCAAUGUUCACUGCAGAAAGACGUAAAAAUAUACACAAAUCCCUCUUCCCAUCCCCCUGAAAAAUCAGCAUAAUCUUUCUAUCUGGAGGUAACCCCUGAUAAUACUUUGUGACGUUUUCUUCCUAAUGGGAUUUUUCUUGGCCAAUAAAUACGGAUCUAUAUUGUUCUUUUUACUAGUUAUGUAGUCCUUCACUAUAAAGAUAUACAAAUUUGUUUAAUUAGUUUUACAUCGUUGAAUUGUUUCCAAUUUUUUGCUACUUAAUGCUGCAAGGAGCACUUUUCAUCUUAGGAUAAAGUUUUUAAAGUAAAUUUCUGGUUUUAAGAAUGUAUCACUUAAAAUUAGGAUAGGCUUCAAGUGACAGAAAACUCCAAACUACAGUAGCUUAAACAAGAUAAAGUUUAUUUUUCUCACAUAAACAAAAUCCAGAGAUGAGCAACCAGGGCUGGUGUGGCAGCUCCACCGUCAUCUGGACCCCAGGCUCCUUCUCUCUUGUUGCUCCAUGUCCUCAACCUGUGGCUUCCACCUUUCAGCCCAAGAUGGCUGCUUGAGCUCAAGCUGUUAUAUUCACAUUUCAGCCAGCAGGAAGGAGGAAAGGGGGGGAGAAGGAACUUCCUCCGGACCCUUCCUUUGACAUGGAUUUGGCCGGAACUUAGUAUCACAUUUACUCCUAACUGGGAAGUAUUUCAGAGGGCCGUGUGUCCAGCUAAAAAAUAGGGAUUGUAUUACUAUAUAAGAAGGGAAGAACAGAUAGCAGGAUACAAGAGGAGUCUCUGUACAAAAGUUGCAGGUCCUUCUAGUUGUGGCAUGUGGGACGCCGCCUCAACGUGGCCUGACGAGUGGUGCCAUGUCCGUGCCCAGGAUCCGAACCAGCAAAACCCUGGGCCACCGAAGCGGAGUGCGAGAACUUAACCACUCGGCCACAGGGCCGGCCCCUAAGGGAGGUUUAAGAUUGAAUUAUUUGGGCUGCACUUUUACUGUUAUGAUGGGAAUUCUGGAAACGGUUUUAAUUGUUUGAAAGAUUAAGGCCAAUGAGCCACAGACUGGGAGAAAAUAUUUGCAAAAGAUGUAUCUGGUGAAGGACCGUUGCGCAAAAUAUGCAAAGAACUCUUAAAACUCAACUAUAAGAAAAUGAACAACCCGAUUAAAAAAGGAGCAAGAGAUCUGACUAGAUACUUCACCAAAGAAGAUAUACAGAUGGCGAAUAAUCAUAUGAAAAGAUGCUCCACAUCGUAUGUCAUCAGGGAAUUGCAAAUUUAAACAACAGUGAGAUCCCAUUACAUACUUAAUAGAAUGACCAAAAUCCAAAACACUGAUACAUCAAGUCCUGGUGAGGAUGCGGAGCAACAGGACCUGUCAUACAUUGUUGGUGGGAAUGCAAAAUGGUACAGCCACUCUGGAAGACAAUUUGGUGAUUUCUUACAAAACUGAAUACAUUCUUAGCAUAUGAUCGAGCAAUAGCGCUCCUUGGUAUUUACCCAAAGGAGUUGAAAACUUGUGUCCACACAAAAACCUGCACGUGGAUGGUUCCAGCAGCUUUAUUCACAACUGCCAAAAACUUGGAAGCAACCAAGAUGUCCUUCAGUAGGUGAAUCGAUAAGUAAACUGUGGUACAUCCCAGACAAUGGAAUAUUAUUCAGUGUCAAAAAGAAAUGAGCUAUCAAGCCAUGAAAAGACAUGGAGGAAUCUUAAAUACAUAUUACGAAGUGAAAGAAGCUAAUCUGAAAAGUAUCUGUAUACGUAUUGUAUGCAUAUGUAUUGUAUGAUUCCAGCUAUAUGACAUUCUGGAAAAGGCGAAACUAUGGAGACAGUAAAAGAUCAGUGGUUGCCAGAGGCUAGGGUGGAGGGAAGAAUGAAUAGGCAGAGCCCAGCAGAUUUUUAAGGCAGUGAAUCUAAUGUGUAUGAUACUGUAAUGCUAGAUACCUGUCAUUAGACAUUUGUCAGACCCAUGGAAUGUACACCACCAGGAGUGAACCUUAAUGUAAGCUAUGGACUUUGAAUGACAGUGAUGUGUCUGUAGGUUCAUCAGUUUUAACAAAUGUUCCCCCCUGGUGGGGGAUGCUGAUGCUGGGGGCGGAGGCUGUGCGUGUGUGUGGCCAGUGAGUAUAGGGAAAAUCUCUGCAACCUCCACUCAAUUUUGCUGUGAACUUAAAACUGUUCUAAAAUAUAAAGUCUAUAUGUAAAAAAAUUAAGGCGAACACUUAGCCUUUAAUUUAGGAAAAUUUUUCCAGUUAAAAAAAUUUUUCUAGAUGUGAAGCACCCAGGUUUAAAAUAUAUAUAUACGUGUAUUCCAGGUUGUGUGUGUGUGCGUGUGAAAGUAGGUAAGCAUUGCAUCUUCGUCUUCUUGAAGCACAACAAUGAAAUCUUUCAGAAAUCUUUAAAAGAUACUUUAAGAAAAAUAUUUUUUCUGUUCUAUUAAAUAGUCCUUAUCAGACCUUGUGAAUGCAACACAAAUGGCAAUUAUUAAAGCAAAUCGAGUAGAUUUGGCAGGACAGUCAUCAAGAAACACUGGACAAGGAUGAAAAAUACUCCCUUCUGGGAAAAGCUGCUAAACAAUUCAUUUCCAGAGGGUCACAGUUCAGGCUUGACUCAUUUGGAAUGUUUUAUAAAUUGAAAACACUGAAA